GAUGAAGAACGCAGCGAAAUGCGAUAAGUAAUGUGAAUUGCAGAAUUCAGUGAAUCAUCGAAUCUUUGAACGCACAUUGCGCCCGCUAGUAUUCUGGCGGGCAUGCCUGUCCGAGCGUCAUUUCAACCCUCGAGCCCCCCCGGGGGCCUCGGUGUUGGGGGACGGCACACCAGCCGCCCCCGAAAUGCAGUGGCGACCCCGCCGCAGCCUCCCCUGCGUAGUAGCACACACCUCGCACCGGAGCGCGGAGGCGGUCACGCCGUAAAACGCCCAACUUUCUUAGAGUUGACCUCGGAUCAGGUAGGAAUACCCGCUGAACUUAAGCAUAUCAAUAAGCGGAGGA
RNAcentral lists this unclassified non-coding RNA (343 nucleotides) under soil metagenome. RNAcentral describes it as "partial contains 5.8S ribosomal RNA, internal transcribed spacer 2, and large subunit ribosomal RNA". The stretch from base 1 to 120 matches the Rfam family "5.8S ribosomal RNA", at positions 35 to 154 of the family's 154-position model. The record is from RNAcentral.